RNAcentral lists this ribosomal RNA (568 nucleotides) under Megasphaera geminata. RNAcentral describes it as "bacterial SSU rRNA". It matches the Rfam family "Bacterial small subunit ribosomal RNA", at positions 378 to 930 of the family's 1533-position model. The record is from RNAcentral. Lineage: Bacteria; Bacillati; Bacillota; Negativicutes; Veillonellales; Veillonellaceae.
AAAACCUGACGGAGACAACGACCGCGUGAGUGAAGACGGCCUUCGGGGGUGAAAGCUCUGUGUAUGAGGGGACGAACGGCCGGGUGAGCGAAGAGGUAGCCGGCAUGACGGUACCGUAAGAGAAAGCCACGGCUAACUACGUGCCAGCAGCCGCGGUAAUACGUAGGUGGCAAGCGUUGUCCGGAAUGAUUGGGCGUAAAGGGCGCGCAGGCGGCUGUGUUAAGUCUGUCCAGAAAGUGCGGGGCUAAACCCCGUGAGAGGAUGGAAACUGGACAGCUGAGAGUGUCGGAGAGGAAAGCGGAAUUCCUAGUGUAGCGGUGAAAUGCGUAGAUAUUAGGAGGAACACCGGUGGCGAAAGCGGCUUUCUGGACGACAACUGACGCUGAGGCGCGAAAGCCAGGGGAGCAAACGGGAUUAGAUACCCCGGUAGUCCUGGCCGUAAACGAUGGGUACUAGGUGUAGGAGGUAUCGACCCCUCCUGUGCCGGAGUUAACGCCAUAAGUACCCCGCCCUGGGGAGUACGGGCGCAAGGCUGAAACUCAAAGGAAUUGACGGGGGCCGCACAAGC